RNAcentral lists this ribosomal RNA (553 nucleotides) under fungal endophyte. Its description in RNAcentral is "eukaryotic LSU rRNA". The stretch from base 175 to 328 matches the Rfam family "5.8S ribosomal RNA". The record is from RNAcentral. Lineage: Eukaryota; Fungi.
UACUGAGUUUACGCUCUAUAACCCUUUGUGAACAUACCUAUAACUGUUGCUUCGGCGGGUAGGGUCUCCGUGACCCUCCCGGCCUCCCGCCCCCGGGCGGGUCGGCGCCCGCCGGAGGAUAACCAAACUCUGAUUUAACGACGUUUCUUCUGAGUGGUACAAGCAAAUAAUCAAAACUUUUAACAACGGAUCUCUUGGUUCUGGCAUCGAUGAAGAACGCAGCGAAAUGCGAUAAGUAAUGUGAAUUGCAGAAUUCAGUGAAUCAUCGAAUCUUUGAACGCACAUUGCGCCCGCCAGCAUUCUGGCGGGCAUGCCUGUUCGAGCGUCAUUUCAACCCUCAAGCUCUGCUUGGUGUUGGGGCCCUACAGCUGAUGUAGGCCCUCAAAGGUAGUGGCGGACCCUCCCGGAGCCUCCUUUGCGUAGUAACUUUACGUCUCGCACUGGGAUCCGGAGGGACUCUUGCCGUAAAACCCCCAAUUUUCCAAAGGUUGACCUCGGAUCAGGUAGGAAUACCCGCUGAACUUAAGCAUAUCAAUAAGCGGAGGAAAAGAAA